Molecule: ribosomal RNA, 704 nt
Filed under: Bacillus sp. (in: firmicutes)
Lineage: Bacteria; Bacillati; Bacillota; Bacilli; Caryophanales; Bacillaceae
Description: bacterial SSU rRNA
Rfam family: Bacterial small subunit ribosomal RNA
Source: RNAcentral
GUCGAGCGGACAGAUGGGAGCUUGCUCCCUGAUGUUAGCGGCGGACGGGUGAGUAACACGUGGGUAACCUGCCUGUAAGACUGGGAUAACUCCGGGAAACCGGGGCUAAUACCGGAUGGUUGUUUGAACCGCAUGGUUCAGACAUAAAAGGUGGCUUCGGCUACCACUUACAGAUGGACCCGCGGCGCAUUAGCUAGUUGGUGAGGUAACGGCUCACCAAGGCGACGAUGCGUAGCCGACCUGAGAGGGUGAUCGGCCACACUGGGACUGAGACACGGCCCAGACUCCUACGGGAGGCAGCAGUAGGGAAUCUUCCGCAAUGGACGAAAGUCUGACGGAGCAACGCCGCGUGAGUGAUGAAGGUUUUCGGAUCGUAAAGCUCUGUUGUUAGGGAAGAACAAGUGCCGUUCAAAUAGGGCGGCACCUUGACGGUACCUAACCAGAAAGCCACGGCUAACUACGUGCCAGCAGCCGCGGUAAUACGUAGGUGGCAAGCGUUGUCCGGAAUUAUUGGGCGUAAAGGGCUCGCAGGCGGUUUCUUAAGUCUGAUGUGAAAGCCCCCGGCUCAACCGGGGAGGGUCAUUGGAAACUGGGGAACUUGAGUGCAGAAGAGGAGAGUGGAAUUCCACGUGUAGCGGUGAAAUGCGUAAAGAUGUGGAGGAACACCAGUGGCGAAGGCGACUCUCUGGUCUGUAACUGACACU